CGAGGAACCUUACCUGGGCUCAAAUGUAUGUUGACGUAUUCUGAAAGGGAUACUUCUUCGGACAAUAUACAAGGUGCUGCAUGGUUGUCGUCAGCUCGUGCCGUGAGGUGUCGGGUUAAGUCCCAUAACGAGCGCAACCCUAUCAUUAGUUGCCAUCAGGUCAAGCUGGGGACUCUAAUGAAACUGCCUACGCAAGUAGUGAGGAAGGUGGGGAUGACGUCAAAUCAGCACGGCCCUUACGUCCAGGGCUACACACGUGCUACAAUGGCCGGUACAAAGGGCAGCUACCUGGUGACAGGAUGCUAAUCUCAAAAGCCGGUCUCAGUUCGGAUCGGAGUCUGCAACCCGACUCCGUGAAGCUGGAAUCGCUAGUAAUCGUGGAUCAGCCAAGCCGCGGUGAAUACGUUCCCGGGCCUU
Molecule: ribosomal RNA, 417 nt
Filed under: uncultured Sphingobacteriales bacterium
Lineage: Bacteria; Pseudomonadati; Bacteroidota; Sphingobacteriia; Sphingobacteriales
Description: bacterial SSU rRNA
Rfam family: Bacterial small subunit ribosomal RNA
Source: RNAcentral